RNAcentral lists this unclassified non-coding RNA (694 nucleotides) under Hevea brasiliensis (rubber tree). Lineage: Eukaryota; Viridiplantae; Streptophyta; Magnoliopsida; Malpighiales; Euphorbiaceae. The record is from RNAcentral.
CCCAAUCAGAAGUCGAAGCAAAGACUGAAGAAGAAGGAGAACAAGAGGAAUAUUUUCGAACCAGAGUGCUCGCUCAGAAUGUUCCUUGGACUUCUACCACCGAAGACAUCCGUACUUUGUUUGAGAAAUUUGGGACUGUUUUAGACGUUGAGCUUUCCAUGCAUAACAAGACCAGAAACAGGGGUUUGGCAUUUGUCACUAUGGGCUCCCCUGAUGAGGCACUUGCAGCUAUUAAAAAUCUCGAAUCUUAUGAAUUUGAGGGUCGGACUUUGAAGAUGAAUUACGCCAAGCUAAAAAAGAAAAAACCUUCACCACCACCACCUCCAAAGCCAGCAGCAACAUUCAACUUGUUUGUAGCAAAUUUGCCAUUCGAAGCUAAGGCAAAAGAUCUUAAGGAGUUCUUUAAUGCUGAAGGCACUGAUGUUGUUUCUGCUGAAAUUGUAUACCAUGAUAAUCCAAGAAGGCCUUCUGGCUAUGGAUUUGUCGCCUUCAAAACUAAAAAAGAAGCGGAUGCUGCCCUUUCUGCAUUUCCAGGGAAGAUGUUUAUGGGAAGGUCAAUUAGAGUUAGUCGUAGCAGACAAUUCGUGAGACAACAAAGAAAUGAAGGUCUGCAAUCUGAUGAUACUUCAACUGAGUUGAACUCUGGAGUCGAGCAAGUAGACCCAACUCAUGAAAAUUGAAAUGGAAAUUUUGU